CAACUUCUUGGUAGCAGCAGAGGAUGAGCAAAUACAUUGUCUGCAAAGGCUGAGUCAAUUAGCAGUGGCUGUCAUGUGUAUUGAACUGCAGUUGUUUAAAGUGAGAAUAUUCUAAAUGCAGAGAGCUAUUACAGUUGGGAAGAAUUUCUGAGCAGUGUUUCAGCUUUUUCUAGUUCUGACUUCAAGCAUGGACCUUGACAAAGCAGCAGAAUGACAACUUGGUAGGAAUUCUGUGCCUUAUUUCUUAAUCCUGAUGAGCCAAACCUACGGUGAACUCCCAUUCCUCAGAGAGAGCCAGAGCCACGGGGUCACAUCAAGCCACUCUGUACAGAUCAGUUCUACAGAGUUUUCUGAAAGCAUAACCUUAAAUCCUACGAAAACCAGUUGUCCAUGCUUCAGUCUCCUGAGAAGGCAGCUCCUGCUGCCUCCUGCAGCCCCACUCGUGCUGAAGCAAGGCCAUUUACACCGUGCUUCAGAACCAGUAAAGAAAACCUAUAUACAAUAUUUUAAGUCCUGAACCCAUCUGCUACCUUGAUGGAGCCUGAGAAAAUUUCAUGACAAGAGUGUUUCUGUGAACUGCAGUUUAGCCAAUGACUACCCCAGUAAUUUGUCCCUUCAUUUUUAAGGGAAAAGAUCUUGGCAAGAGAUCUCAUUCCAGAUUUUACAUAUGAAAACACUGUAAGACAAAAAAUGAGGAUUAUCAGUAAAACAGACAUAAUUUGAGGCCUGACAACAAAACCUUCAGCAUUUUUAAAUGCUUAUCUCUAUGACUGGAGUGGAAUGGGAAGAAAAGGAUGACUGUUUCAGUCAGAAGGAACCUACAACGAUGUCUGUCAAAUUCAGGCCUGACCAAGUGAAAGUAAAUUGAUCUCAAUCACUACCAAGCUUGGGAAUUUCCUGCCUCUUUAGGAAGCCUGUCCUGGUAUUUGACCACCUCCUUGGCAAGGAAAAGCUUUCUUAUAUCCAGUCUGAACCUCCCUGCUCCAGCUUUGAAUCGUUCCCAU
Molecule: long non-coding RNA, 1004 nt
Filed under: Cyanistes caeruleus (blue tit)
Lineage: Eukaryota; Metazoa; Chordata; Aves; Passeriformes; Paridae
Description: lncRNA (ENSCCEG00000018623.1)
Source: RNAcentral